Lutra lutra (Eurasian river otter) is the source of this 304-nucleotide long non-coding RNA. RefSeq lists it as uncharacterized. The transcript is spliced from 3 exons. The record is from RefSeq and is a predicted model, not a curated record. NCBI's taxonomy places the organism in Eukaryota, Metazoa, Chordata, Mammalia, Carnivora, Mustelidae.
GACCAACUCUGGUAUUCUCCCAGGAUGUGACUUGCCCCCUUCUCAGGGGAAAUUAUACCUCACUGCCACCUCAUAGGUUACCAUUUGGGAGUACCAGCUGCCACACUUUCUGAAACCAAGGCAUGGACCCGAAUCCUGCUAAUUUCGGAAACAAAUACUAGGGUUUUAGAAGAGUAUGCUCCAGGACUCAGGCUUCUGCCAUUAAGUGAGAAAACCAAUUCUGACAAUCACCCAUGGAUAAGAGUGUGCUUGUGGAAAUCUGGGAGUCUAGUAGAGAAGUUCCAGCACAACACUGGAGCUAAGA